Molecule: ribosomal RNA, 301 nt
Filed under: uncultured bacterium
Lineage: Bacteria
Description: partial 16S ribosomal RNA
Rfam family: Bacterial small subunit ribosomal RNA
Source: RNAcentral
CGCAGCCGCGGUAAUACGUAGGGUGCGAGCGUUAAUCGGAAUUACUGGGCGUAAAGCGUGCGCAGGCGGUGAUGUAAGACAGAUGUGAAAUCCCCGGGCUCAACCUGGGAACUGCAUUAGUGACUGCAUCGCUGGAGUGCGGCAGAGGGGGAUGGAAUUCCGCGUGUAGCAGUGAAAUGCGUAGAUAUGCGGAGGAACACCGAUGGCGAAGGCAAUCCCCUGGGCCUGCACUGACGCUCAUGCACGAAAGCGUGGGGAGCAAACAGGAUUAGAUACCCGAGUAGUCCCUGUCUCUUAUACA